GACGAACGCUGGCGGCGUGCUUAACACAUGCAAGUCGAACGGAAAGGCCCUGCUUUUGUGGUGGGCUCGAGUGGCGAACGGGUGAGUAACACGUGAGUAACCUGCCCUUGACUUUGGGAUAACUUCAGGAAACUGGGGCUAAUACCGGAUAGGAGCUCCUGCUGCAUGGUGGGGGUUGGAAAGUUUCGGCGGUUGGGGAUGGACUGGCGGCUUAUCAGCUUGUUGGUGGGGUAGUGGCUUACCAAGGCUUUGACGGGUAGCCGGCCUGAGAGGGUGACCGGCGACAUUGGGACUGAGAUACGGCGCAGACUCCUACGGGAGGCAGCAGUGGGGAAUAUUGCACAAUGGGCGGAAGCCUGAUGCAGCAACGCCGCGUGCGGGAUGACGGCCUUCGGGUUGUAAACCGCUUUCGCCUGUGACGAAGCGUGAGUGACGGUAAUGGGUAAAGAAGCACCGGCUAACUACGUG
RNAcentral lists this ribosomal RNA (468 nucleotides) under uncultured bacterium. RNAcentral describes it as "partial 16S ribosomal RNA". It matches the Rfam family "Bacterial small subunit ribosomal RNA", at positions 28 to 507 of the family's 1533-position model. The record is from RNAcentral.